CAUCUGGGAGGCGAUUUCCAGGAGAGAACUGCUACCUCCAGGAGACCAGGAGAUUGUGGAGGCCGGGGAGAUGGAGUAGGGCAGAGCUGAGAUUGCUAAAGGGGAGGCGGGGAGGCGGCCUACAAAAAGACCUGAACUUACACCGCCAUCUGCUGGAAGUGUUUUCGGACAUUUCCCGGCUUUGCUCAGGGAGAGGAAGAGGUCGAGACACAGCGAGAGACACAAAGAGAGAGACAGAGACAAGAAAUGCACCUCACGGCUAUGGAAGAGAUAGCCUGCUUAACGACGGACCAAAAUAGUGCACAUAAUCAAAGCGCUUUCUCUUUCAAGAGAGCAUCUUUCUCCCAGAAGCUUAAAAUGUUUUGUCAACGAUAACUCCAGUGUCUUCACAACAUUUCUUGGAAGAAGUUGACGGGUAACUCAUUUCCUCCACCGGCUUCUCGUUCUUGAAUGUCAAAGCAACAACAGAAGAGGCUCAAGAGCAAAGUGAUGACCCAAAACAAAAGACAUCCCAUGAUAAACCGUGGGUGUUUUCAGACUUAAUAUUUGAGCCGUUUCUCUCCGGUGGGGUUGGGUGAAACUUGGAACAACCAGUGAACAGAUGGAGCUCUCAGGAGUCUCCCAUUUCCACCCUCCUCCUCCUCCUCCUCCUCUUUCUCCUCCUCCCCGCUUUCCCCCACCCCCGCCACCCCUGUCACCUGAUGGAGGCUGAGUUUGUUUCAGGAAAUAGGGAGCAGAUUGAGAGACGAAAGCAAAUUCAACCCUUCGUAUGUUUCGUUUAUCAUCCUUCUCCAGUUUCGGCUGAGUGAGGAUUUAAUCGACCCUAACAACCUCCUUAGCAUUUAGAUAUUUUCAUCUUAUUCUUAGCACUUGUGUCCAUGGGCAUAUUUAUUUGUAUAAACAUUUAUUUAUUUAGCAAUUUUUUCUUGACAAUGGCCUGUUAUAAACUGGUUCUUCCACCCGCUUCCUCUCUUUGUAAAUAAAGUCUGUCUCCUUAAGACAGGGAGCAUG
Molecule: long non-coding RNA, 1011 nt
Organism: Ornithorhynchus anatinus (platypus)
Lineage: Eukaryota; Metazoa; Chordata; Mammalia; Monotremata; Ornithorhynchidae
Exons: 2
Source: RefSeq, a predicted model, not a curated record